This 2938-nucleotide long non-coding RNA is filed under the name Ficedula albicollis (Collared flycatcher). Its description in RNAcentral is "lncRNA (ENSFALG00000023611.1)". The record is from RNAcentral. Lineage: Eukaryota; Metazoa; Chordata; Aves; Passeriformes; Muscicapidae.
AUAAAACCAUGGAAAAUGAUCAAAUUAUUAUUGGAAGAACUCUGUAACAUUAAGAGAAGAAAGCCUCGGAGCCAGAGGAAUAAAGCAAAAUAUAAACCCCACCAGCAGCAUCACUCCUUUUGUCUGCAGCAUGUAAAAAAAAAAAAAACCCCCCCCCCCCCCCCCCCCCCCCCCCCCCCCCCCCCCCCCCCCCCCCCCCCCCCCCCCCCCCCCCCCCCCCCCCCCCAAAAAAAAAAAAAAAAACCCAACAAAACGCUGCAGGAAUCGUUCUGGAUCGAGUCGUGUCGGCUCGAAAAGAAGCGAUCCCGGCUGGAUCUUUAGUUCGGGGCUGAGUUUUAGCAGCGCUGACAUUUCUGCAGCUGCCGGGCACGAAGGUGGCUGGGAAUCGCCCCGAACCUGCGCGCCUGCAAUUCUGGAGCGGCGAGGGAAGAAGGGAAAAGGGUGGGGGGGACUCGUUCUCCCCCAGCCGCUAUUCCCUCCUCUGUUCCCUCCUUUUCUCCUCGCCACAACCUCGCCAUUCCCCCCGCAAAAUCAGCCUCGGGGGAGCGCAGAAUGCGCGCUCCCCCCUCCCCAUUAUUCCCGUGCCCUGCGCUCCUUUUCGGGGCCACCUCGGCGCUGCCGCCCUGUCCCUUUAAAGCUCCAGCGCCUGUAAUUGAUGUGUCUGGGCCAGUCUAGACUGGGAGCGACUCGAGCCAUCCCAAUUAAAGUGCGCGCAGCAGCGCGGAGCCUGCGCGGGCUCCGUCCUCCCCCUUUUUUCCCCCUUUUUUUUUCCCCCCUUUUUCCCCACCCCAGCCCUCCCCGCCCAUUGUUUUGCCGCAGCACCGCGGACACAAUAGCGACCCCCGGGGAGGGGACAGCGGGGACAAGGGGGGGCCCCCAAAGCGGGGACCCCCUCCCCAAAAAGCGGAGGGUGCGCGGGGAUGCGCGGGGACCCAUCCCAGGCUCGCAGACAAAGCGAGCCCCUUCCCUCCCCGCGGAUGGGGGAAAAAAUCGGGGUUAAAAGCUUCGGGGAAGGGUAAAAACACCCCCAAAAACCCGACUUUUUGCGGGUGUGGUAACGGAUAAAGGUGCGGGGCUCCAGCGCUCCCGAUUCCAAUUUACAGCGCCGAGCAGGUAAUAGAAAAUGAAUGCGGCUCGCUUCGGAAUGAAAGGACGUUUGGGAUAAUACAGAAAUUCAGCAUGGAAAGGCUUUCUUGGCUUUUUUUUUUUCGCUCAGUGAAAUUACAGUAGCAUGAAAAAGCAGCGAAAAUUCAUAAAAAAAAAAUCAAAAUCAAACAAGCAACCUUUUCCAGUUCAAUAACUGUUAAACAGGAAGCAGCAAACAUAUCCUAAAGCUCUUAAAUACCAAAAGGUUACACCGUCAAUUAAUUUUUGGUGCAUCGUUUUAAGUUCAAGCAUUUGCAUUCAAAUAUCAAACAGUAAUUCGGUGCCAUAACAAGGUACAGUAACUCCAUUAUAAAUUGCCUUGCAGAACAGAGAUAAGAAAUACAGUUCCAACCAUAAUUAAUUUUACAGCAACAUAAAAAAAUCUAAUAAAGAAAAACAGCAGCAGCAGGAAACAUUUCGAACAUUUCUGAUUCAUCAUUUACAUAUCAUAUUGCCCGGAAAAAGCAGCAAAGCUGGAAGUUCUAGAAAAGGACUCGAAGAAAACUUCAACAUUUCUUUUUACUUUCCAACCAUUAAUACAUGCAACCAUUUUAUUCUGCGGUUUAUUUUUCCAACCUAUAAAAAUCCAACCCAUCUCCCCCCCCCCCCCCCCCCCCCCCCCCCCCCCCCCCCCCCCCCCCCCCCCCCCCCCCCCCCCCCCCCCCCCCCCCCCCCCCCCCCCCCCCCCCCCCCCCCCCCCCCCCCCCCUUUUUGGUGUGUCCAUAGAGCACAUUUCCAAGAUUAAUCGUUCAGUUUUAAACUUGGAAGCAUGAGGCAUGCUGGGAUUUCAGCUGAGGUCAAGCACCAAUGUACCGAGCUGUUACUGUUACGCUCUCAGGGUACUCUGUGUUGCUCUCAAGAAGGGGAGGAAGGCAAAAAAAAAAAAUAUAUAUAAAAAAAAUCAAAAUUGAGAUGCUCUAUGCAGUGGCCUGCAGCAAAAAAUCUCUCUCUUUCACCACAGGCGUGAUAUUAAUAUUCCUCUGUAUGGAGAUAUCUAUAUUUAUAGUUUUAUUUACCUAUAUUAAUGAAUAUAUCUGUGGAUCGCCACGCACACCUCAAUAACUGUAUUUACAUGUAUCCAUAUCAUGUAUAUCUUAUCUACACACGCAUAUAUAAUAAUCACCCUGUGUGUACACACAUACACCCCCAUAUCUGGAUCAGCUGGAAAAUUAUCUCGUGAAUAUACACACACACAUUAAAAAAGGAAAAAAAUGUAAAAAAAAAAAAUCUCUGCGCUACGAACGCUGAUUUUAAUUUGAUUUUUUAUACAGAAAAUGGCCAUAACCACCGCCCUACAGCAGCCGAUGGAGCCCAAGGAGGAGAAAUACACUUAUUUUUCCCUUAAAAGGUCUCUAAACACUAUUGUAUGUGUGUGUAUACGGCUCUAAAUAUACACACCCGCGCUCGCACAUAUACACAUAGAGAGAGGAUAUAUUUCUAAAAUAAAAUAAAGAUGUCAAAGCACAACUCACAGCUCCCAAGAGCCUAACCCGUGGAUUUAAAAGCUAAACAUCACAAGUUAGGGUCUCAGGGAUUGAGAGGGGCGCAACAAACUAGUCCUUGCAAAAAAAAAAAAAAAAAUUAAAAAAAAAAUUUAAAAAAUACCAAAACCAACGGGGAUCAAAAAAUAAUAACCAUAAAAAAAAAGAUCAAAAGGAGAAAGAGGAAAAGAAUAGCAGGCAAGUUCAAUUCAUGGCUCAAGAUUACAAAACAGGACACACAGGUGGAAGGAAAGAGCUUCUCUAAGGACCCUCUGUUGAGAGAAUACAUUCCAUUUUUAAUCGUUUAUACA